UGUCCUCGGGGGAUAGAUUCGAAUCCGG
Molecule: small RNA, 28 nt
Filed under: Bombyx mori (domestic silkworm)
Lineage: Eukaryota; Metazoa; Arthropoda; Insecta; Lepidoptera; Bombycidae
Description: piRNA piR-bmo-1267147
Source: RNAcentral